CGGAAUAUGGUCGGAGAGGCCAUGGAUCUUGCAGAUCCAAGACAGAUCUAAAGGAGUCCAUGGAAGUCAGGACCACAAGCUUCGAAUAACUUAGGUUAUGGGUGAGGGAGAGUGAGCAUAGGCCACCCAUGGCCAGGGUUGCCAUGGAUUCCUGUGGGAAUCGAAGGGAUUAAGGUUAGUUUGGGUGGCGGCUAGUGUUUGAGUGAGGUUGCAGAGAGAAUUGGAGAGGAAGCGGAUUCAAG
This 242-nucleotide long non-coding RNA is filed under the name Nicotiana benthamiana. RNAcentral describes it as "long non-coding RNA (NBEN_LNC010560)". Lineage: Eukaryota; Viridiplantae; Streptophyta; Magnoliopsida; Solanales; Solanaceae. The record is from RNAcentral.